UCCGAGUUGAGUAACAAAUGUCUAAGUGAUGAGUGUCACUUAUCGAAUUUUUUACAAAUGGCAGACUGCUGUUGCCAAACCUUUCUCAUCAUGUCCUGCUCAGGUUAAUCCACACACAACCCCCAAGAGGAAAGUACAGUCUAGUGGACAGGAGCAUGACCUGGAGUCAGAGGCCCUGGGUUCAAAUCCUGGCUCUGUUACUUCCAAGCUGUGCAACUGUGGGAUGAAGACAAGCGAGGGGCUGGCCCCGCAGAGACGCCCAGCUCUGCCCAGCUGCACCGACAGCAGGACUCACCAGAUUCUGAGUAAACACGGAAACGUCCUCUGUGCUGUUGUCAGAAUUCACGCGCACCAAUCUUCUAAGUCUGGCGGAACUUACAAUCCCUCUGUUGCUUUGGAGAGCGAAGGCUACUGGUUGCAGUGUUUAAACCACAUUAGGCACUUAAAAGUGGGACCCAAGGGGAAGCCAGCUCUGGGUAAGAUUUUCAAAUGUCCAAGGAUUGUUCUGAGCCUUCAAUUAGGAGGCUCCAUUUAAAAUUCCUAACAACAAAAAAAAAACAGACAAGUAGGACCAAAUCACACUAAAAAGCAUCUGCUCAGCAGCAACAAAAUGAAAAGGCAAACCUAUGGAAUGGAAGAAAAUAU
This 645-nucleotide long non-coding RNA is filed under the name Equus asinus (donkey). Its description in RNAcentral is "lncRNA (ENSEASG00005024123.1)". Lineage: Eukaryota; Metazoa; Chordata; Mammalia; Perissodactyla; Equidae. The record is from RNAcentral.